This is a long non-coding RNA of Gasterosteus aculeatus aculeatus (three-spined stickleback), 649 nucleotides long. NCBI's taxonomy places the organism in Eukaryota, Metazoa, Chordata, Actinopteri, Perciformes, Gasterosteidae. The record is from Ensembl.
GCGCCAGCUCUCCACCUACGUCAUGGUUCGUUUCCGACAAUUUGUGGCACAGACAAACGCGACGUGCGCGGUUUGCAAAUUGUCGGAAAUUGUCGGAAAUUAGGGAGAUUUCCGGGCGUUUACGGGGACGAAAAGCUCACUUUUCAUGCAGUGGCAUCUAUCGAUUGAGCUACACAGUGCUUCCUAGCCUGUGUAACCUUUGCUGCCGGUCCAGAUUACCUCUAGGUCUGGUGCCGGUAACAAUUGGGGGCUCGUCCGGGAUACUCUAGCGUCCUUACCAGGCUGCGACAUUCGAGAGAGGAGAUAUAGCAGUCGACCAGCCGGGAGGCCACACUCCACCUCAUCCGGACUACAACCAUCCAGGCAGACAUCCAACUUCACCAACCACAGACAUUCCCCUACAACCAGCCGGGAGCUCCACCACUCCAGCAUCGACCAAGUCAUUCACAGCAGGUGUUCGGGGUGCUCACCAUGGGAGGAUGCUACAUUGAAGAAGUGGCCGGCAGCCAGCCGUGGGCAGAUAGGCACAGCUAUAAAUUCCAAGCUUGCAGAGAUGCGAAGAUCCAUGAAAUGAUUUUUUUUCCUUUCCAUUUUUUUGUUGUUUUUGUACAUUUUGAUAGUCCUUAAAUAAAUAAUGUAAAUUUCUACA